RNAcentral lists this transfer RNA (73 nucleotides) under Plocamium cartilagineum. RNAcentral describes it as "tRNA-Glu". It matches the Rfam family "tRNA". From Rfam's summary of the family: Transfer RNA (tRNA) molecules are approximately 80 nucleotides in length. Their secondary structure includes four short double-helical elements and three loops (D, anti-codon, and T loops). Lineage: Eukaryota; Rhodophyta; Florideophyceae; Plocamiales; Plocamiaceae. The record is from RNAcentral.
GCUCCUAUCGUUUAAUGGUUGAAGACAAUGUUUUUUCGUAACAUUAAUGUAAGUUCGAGUCUUACUAGGAGUA